Long non-coding RNA from Thunnus maccoyii (southern bluefin tuna), 1788 nucleotides. RefSeq lists it as uncharacterized. The record is from RefSeq and is a predicted model, not a curated record. Lineage: Eukaryota; Metazoa; Chordata; Actinopteri; Scombriformes; Scombridae. The transcript is spliced from 4 exons.
CUGGUCAUGUGACUCAGUUUCAAACAGACUCAGCUACUUCCUCAUCUGACACAUUUACUGUUGUGUAGUGAAGCAGUUCGUAUGUGCAGCUGAUAAUUCAGGUGACAUAAAGAGGAACAGAUCUCUGCUCGCUCGCCUCUAAACAAGUAAACAUCAGGUUGAUUCAAUGCAUCCAGCAAGUUGUUCAGCAGGAAAACUUCAUCCUCACCUGCUUGUUCAUGGUUCCUGAGAACAGCUGACAGACAAAACAUCUCACAAGAACAGGGAGAAGAUGAUCUGGAUCCUGCUGCUCCUCGUUCUGGCCUCCUCUGUCUGUGGUUAGUUUGAUGUUUAAGGCUCAGUACAGAUCCUGAAAAGAUGGUGCUGGAGACCUCUGAACAUUUUGUCUUGAAUGUGACUCAGACGCCUCAUGGAGGGACCAGCCAUGUGUUCCUCACCACACCCAAGAUAACUGAAGGUAAGCAACAUGGUGAGCUGUUACCAUGGUAACUCAUAUACAAAUAAUUUGAUGCACAAAUCUGAUUUCAAGGCUACAAAUGUAUUUUAUUUGCUACUUGGCCAUUCAGAUGUAUCACAUAAACCACUGCACCACAUGGCUAACGUGGUAAUAAUAAUAAUACAACAACAUGUGACAACAUGUUGACAAAAAAUCAGUAUAUUUACUGUGAAGAAUUUACUGUUCCAUGCCAUUUUCACAUCUUUGUAAACUGGUUUUAACAUCGACAUGAACUGAAACUGUCAAGAAGGACAAACAAUGAAUGAGAUUAAACUACAACAUUGAUCAGGCUGAUUAGUUAAAGGGGACAUAUCAUGCUUUUAAAUGAUUUUCUGUCUAUUUUUAUAGUAUUAUAAUGUUGGAUAUCUAUGUUAAACAUGGUCAAAGUUCCAAAACUUGCACAUAUGUAAAAAUGUUGCCUUCAAGACAAAAGUCAGAGCUUCAACCUGCUCUGGACGCUCUGAUUGCAACGUUACCUCUACUUCCCCACCAAACUGACAUCAGGUUGUUCACACAUAUGAGCUAAAACUGCCUGAACUGAGGAGUCAGUAUAAGAUAAAUAAUGAGUUUUUUGAUCUAUAAGUCAUGCAAAUAUAAUAUAUUCCAGUGGAGCCCCAGAAUAAAAACAUAGACCUGUAAAUGUGCAAAUGUUCCCUUUAACUAACAUCUAUUUAUUUAGAGGGAAAAAAAUGAGUUUCACAUUUUGCUUUCUCUGUUUUUCUCUGAAGAAGAAGAAGAAACUUUUGUAUAACAUUAAUGAAGCACAAAAUUAUUGUUAUAAGAAUGCAGUAAUGAUGUGUAUUUGUACCUGUUUUAUUGUGUCUAUUUCAUAUUUAAUACAUAAGCUAAAUAUAUUAUAAUUCUGAAAUCAAAUGAAAGCAGCAGCAGCCUGGAGGAGAAGACAAACACAUUCAUUUAAAGUUCAAACUUUAAAAAAAUGAGUUAAUUGCAAUAAUUUGUUGAAAUCUUUGAACAACUUUUUCAAUUGUCCAUAGAAAUGUUUUAAUUCUUCUGCAAAGCACUUUUAACUCUAUGAAGCACUUUCUAACUUCAACAUAAAAUGUGACUGUUAUUUUCUACAAUGUUAAAGUAAAGCUUGACAUGUUUAUACUGUGUAAAAUGACUGUGACUGUAGGAACAUGGAGGGAUUGUAUUUUCUAUUUUUUGUACUUUUGAUAUCUUCAGCUGUGUGUUUGCAGCAGUUUUGAGGAUCUGAUUUCUCUUUAUUUUCAACAUAUGAUCUCUGAAUGUUUAAUUAUGUCAUGAAUCACUCAUUAAAUGUGUUCAGUCCA